RNAcentral lists this ribosomal RNA (484 nucleotides) under uncultured bacterium. Its description in RNAcentral is "partial 16S ribosomal RNA". It matches the Rfam family "Bacterial small subunit ribosomal RNA", at positions 30 to 507 of the family's 1533-position model. The record is from RNAcentral.
AUUGAACGCUGGCGGAAUGCUUUACACAUGCAAGUCGAGCGGCAGCACGGGGGCAACCCUGGUGGCGAGCGGCGAACGGGUGAGUAAUACAUCGGAACAUGCCCAGUCGUGGGGGAUAACACUUCGAAAGAAGUGCUAAUACCGCAUACGUCCUGAGGGGGAAAGCGGGGGAUCGCAAGACCUCGCGCGAUUGGAGUGGCCGAUGUCAGAUUAGCUAGUUGGUGGGGUAAAGGCCUACCAAGGCAACGAUCUGUAGCUGGUCUGAGAGGAUGAUCAGCCACACUGGGACUGAGACACGGCCCAGACUCCUACGGGAGGCAGCAGUGGGGAAUUUUGGACAAUGGGGGCAACCCUGAUCCAGCCAUUCCGCGUGAGUGAAGAAGGCCUUCGGGUUGUAAAGCUCUUUCGGCAGGAACGAAACGGUGAGCUCUAACAUAGCUUGCUAAUGACGGUACCUGAGGAAGAAGCACCGGCUAACUACGUG